UACCAGCACCCCGAGUGGUCGGGACGAUUAUUGGGCCUAAAGCAUCCUUAGCCGGUUUUACAAGUCCUCCGUUAAAUCCAGCUGCUUAACAGAUGGGCUGCGGAGGAUACUAUAAGACUAGGAGGCAGGAGAGGCAAGCGGUACUCAGUGGGUAGGGGUAAAAUCCGUUGAUCCAUUGAAGACCACCAGUGGCGAAGGCGGCUUGCCAGAAUGCGCUCGACGGUGAGGGAUGAAAGCUGGGGGAGCAAACCGG
Molecule: ribosomal RNA, 253 nt
Filed under: uncultured bacterium
Lineage: Bacteria
Description: partial 16S ribosomal RNA
Rfam family: Archaeal small subunit ribosomal RNA
Source: RNAcentral